AUGGCCUAUCGGAAUUCCAAGACUGGCGGCCCAGUAGGGACCUCCCAGCUGGCGUCCGUGGGGCUUCACAUUCCCAGGCCACGUUGCCUGACUCCUGCCAGUCAGGGCGCUGCAUUAAAACGUGUUCCAGGGCCUCAUCCCAACUGGGACGCCUCUUCCUCGCUGACACCAUGCUCACGGGUGCGCGCGUUUGUGUCCCGGUUUCGCAUCAGCAGCCCCAGGGCGGGCCUGGCGGGGUGUCCCCUCACCCUGAGCCCGAGCCCGGGUAGGCUGCGCCCUCGCCCCUCCUCCCCGUACUUCCUCCCACCGUGUCCCCGACAGCGUCUGCUUGGCCGUCCCGGUCCCGAAUCAUUCUGGAUCGCAGAAAUCCCCCUGUGGGCGUCUAGAGGGCCAGCGUGGCCCUGUCGGGUGCGCGGAAAAACCGCUGAGGGUGGAAGCCGCUCCUCGGCGCAGGCGCCUCCGCCUCUGCCGCCCCCUAGUGCCCGCGCCGAGACCGCGCGCGAACCCCACCGGAGGUGGGGUUUCAUGUUGCCCAGGCUGGUCUCAAACUCCUGGGCUCACGCAAUCGCCCUGCCUCGGCCUCCCAAAGUGCUGGGAUUAUCUGGCUCUCUUCCUGAGAAAUGCCUUGCUCUAGGUUGAAGAACUUUUGAUUCCUAAUACAUGGAUGGUUUUCCAAAGUACAGCAGAUAAAGGCCACGUUGGCAGCUCAUGUAAAGGUCAUGUUCCAGGUCUUGGCUACUUCACCUAUAACAGGCAUGGACUCCGCAGAGCCUCAGGCCAAAGAAUGUGCGUCAUAGGGAUAUAUCCCUUGUUGUGUUCACAUCUCCCUGGGGGUUGGGCUACAUUGUUGGGUAACGUAAUGGGUCUGCUCUCCUCAUGUAAUAAGGCAUACCCAUAUUACUAAUGCAGGGCGAGAUUUCUUAUAAUUCCAUGCCUUUCCAGUUGUGGUUAUUUUAUUAAUACCUGCAGGUUUUCCUUAUUUUUAGAACUGCAAAUCUAUAGAAACAAACAAACCCCAAACCCAACAAACAUGUUUCAGAGACAUUAAGCUUAGAGAGAGGAGGAAAAAUAGCACCCUGUUUGAUUGAGGCUCUGGGGAGAGAGGGACUCAGGCAAAAGGGUUUGUGUGGCAGGUGGUCUAGUUUUGGGUGGGUUGAGCAGACUUAGGACCAAAAGCGGCACUGAUUCUAGCUGGCAGCAGACCUCUCUGUAUUUCCAACCAGGACUUCCUCCUUUAUCUUGGCAGGGAUGCUUUACUUCUGAGUUGUACAUUUAACCUCAGCAUCAGUUUCUUCACCUGCAAAGUGGGAUAAUACUUGCUCUGUAAGGGAACAAUUCCCCCUUUAGUGACGGCCUUUGCAAUGGAAAGAAAAGGGAGAGACCUUUCAAGCUAUCUUGGCUCCGUCUCCAUGUCUUUGUUAUUGCUGAUGUGGGUGUCUGGGGCAUGCUGCUGUCCCCCCGCCUUUUUUUUUUGAGAUAGACUCUCAUUCUGUUGCCUAUGCUGGAGUGCAGUGGCACAAUCUUGGUUCACCGCAACCUCUGCCUCCUGGGUUCAAGAGAUUCUCCUGCCUCAGUCUCCUGAGUAGCUGGGAUUACAGGCGCCCUCCACCACAACUGGCCAAUUUUGUUUUUGUUUUUUGAGACAGAGUUUCACUCCGUCACCAGGCGCCAGGCUGGAGUGCAGUGGUGUGACUUCGGCUCACGGCAACCUCCGCCUCCCAGGUUCAAGCAAUUCUCCUGCCUCAGCCUCCCGAGUAGCUGGGACUACAGGCGCGUGCCACCACGCCCAGCUAAUUGUUUUUUUUUGUGUUUUUAGUAGAGAUAGGGGUUUCACCAUGUUGGUCAGGCUGGUCUCAAACUCCUGACCUAGUGAUGUGCCUACCUCGGCCUCCCAAAGUGCUGGGAUUACAGGCGUGAGCCACCACGCCCGACCUGCUCUCCCUUUUACACUUUUGAUCUUAGUACUGUUAAGACUCUCUACUUACUUUUAUUAUUUUUUUGUUACAAAUAGCAAAAUCUGUUUCAGAGUAGCUUAAGCCCCAAAAGGAAUUGAUUGAGAGCAGUUCUGGGGACCUCAGGGGCUCAUGGACUUUGUCCCUGGAGUGUGGACAGGGACAGCACCACUCGCCAGAGCUGCUCUUGACCUCUUGACCUCUGUUGCAGAGAGCUAAGAUCGCGCCGCUGCACUACAACCUGGGUGACAGAGCGAGACUCCAUCUAAAGAAAGAAAAAAAAAAAAAAAAAGAAAAAAAUCAGGUUUACUGAGAUGUAAUUUAAAUACGGUGAAAUUUAUCCCGCGCAGCUGUACAGCUGCUUAUGAGUUUUUUUUUUGUAUUUGUUUUUCUUUUGUGCUUAUGAGUUUUGACAAACAUAUUCAUGGUGUCACUACCACUACAAUCAAGAUAAGGAAUAUUUCUAUUACCCCAAAAAGGUUCCUCAUGGACACAGUUUUUUUCAAGUCACUCCUGGUUAAUGUGUAUCCUUAGGGUAAUAAAACAAUGUUAAUUCUUGAAUUGGAUUUAGGCUGUUUAAAUAUUGCUCAUUGGAUUGUACCUUGGGGUGGGAGAAUUUACUCUGGCAAUUUAGAAAAGGAAAAGGUUGGGGCUGCCAAGUGAAAGCAGACGUUGGUGAAUAUUAUUUAUUGGGAUUCAAAAGGAUACAUCAGCCAGAUUGAUAUAUGAAUGCUAAUCAAGGGUUGAUUUAGCAAGAUCUACUAAGGAAAUAAUAUCUUGUACAGUGUUAAUCACGUUUUAUUUUUCAUAAUUGAGUUGAAUAUGUAAAGUGAUUAGAAUAGUCACUGCCACUUAAUACCACUUCAGAAUUACCUGUUUUUCUUAAUAUUGGUGUAAUUGACAAUUUAUUUCCAAGCUCCAUCUACCUUUUGGCUGGCCAGAAUGAGCUGUUAAAGAGUCCUACUGGUGAGACUAUCUCAGGUUUCUCCAACAAAGUGAUCAUCAUUGUUAUUUUACAUAAUCUCCUAGGGAUUUGUCCCUCUUUCCUAUUACAUUGUUUUCUGGGAAAGCUGAAUUCCGGAAGUUCUUAAGAGCUUUUCCAGCUCCCAGAGUUGCAAUGGUAAGUUCAAAUAACAUGGCCAGGGGCAGGAGAAAUCACCGUAGAAUCUUUCUUGAUUCUCUGUAUUUCCCAUUAAUGCUUCAUAACCUUCCACCUUGAUACUUUCCCCUCCACAUACCCCGAUAUUCAAAAUAGCCCUUCUUAUAAGAUUGGGUUUUCUUAAGUAAAAGUUGCCAUUGAUCUUACACCCCAAAGUUUCUGGAAUUCCUAAACCUUGUCUUUUGUCUAAACUGUUUUAACUUGAGUGCAGAGUGUCUCCAGACACAGGAUGGAACAGAUCUGGAGGGAAGAACACUGGGGCUGUUUGUCCUGUCAUAUGAGGGGAGGAUCUGGUUUUAAUGCAAGCUCUUUAAGCUUGGAGAAUGAAUCAAAGGUGUGGAAGUACUGUGUUUCUGUAUGUACUAAGAGAAAUGUGUUCUUAAAGUUUAUAAGCUUUUUGUCUUGGCAUUCCCCUUUGGCUCAGUUGCUAGCACUGUUAAAUUGCACAAGUUGAGGGUUUGCUAAAGUUAUUGCUAAAUUUGUAACUUCCAAAUCUGCUAAAAUUGGACUAUAUUUGGUGCUUUCUUUAACCUGUUUUGUAAUCUCAUUAAUUUUCCAGUGAGCCCAUUGUGCUGUUGGGAUUCUGAUAUCCCCAAAUCUAACGAGCCACGACCAUACACUUUAGCUCCAUUCCCUCUGGCUUCUCAAAUUCUUUUUCAUUUUUCCAAUUCUCUAGCACUUUCUCUUAUAGGUGGUUCUGCUUUAACUUAAAAUGAAAUGAAAACUUCAGCCUCUUGGUUGCACCAGCUGCUAGCAUUUUAAGUGCUCAGGAGCCACCUGUGGCUGGUGGCGGCUCGGUUGGAUAGCUGGAUAGAGAACAUUUCCCCAACAGCAGAGCGUUGUAUGAGGCAGCACUGCUCGAGGUAUGGCUCUCUGAUGAUCACACCCACUUUACGGAUAUUAGGACCCUCUAACUAUGUAUCCCUUCUUUCUUCCGGAUAUGAUGUUGAAGGCUUUCCCUCAGUUUGUAUCUUUUAACAAAUAUUUGAGAGUCUUUAUUGAUCAAUCCCUCAUACAUCUCUGCAACAAAAACAUAUAUAUUCAUUUAAUUAUUUUUUUAAAUGGACAAAAAUCGAAUCUAUGGUAUACAAUAUGAUGUAUUGAUUUAUAUGUACAUUGUUUAAUGGCUAAAUCAAGCUCAUUACCUUACAUUUUUUUCUGUGUUUUGUGAGAACACUUAAAGUUACUCACUUAGCAGUGUUCAAGUACACAGUAUAUUGUCGUCAACUGCAGUCACCAUGUUGUACGACACAUAUCUUGAAUUUAUUCCUCCUGUCUAACUGACAUUUUGUAUUCGUUGAUGUUAGUUCUUUUUUUUUUUUUUUUUUUUACAUUCAACUCAUUAAAAAUGUAAUUAGGUCACAGGUAGGAGGUUUCUUUGCAAUUUUGCAAUGCUUAGUGAUUUUUACAGCUGCUGCUAAAAGCUUAGUGAAAUCACAGAGACCUAAGGGCUGCCAAAACCUGUGCAUUUGGUCAUAUUUAUUUUGACUCGUGUUUUUUGUGUGUGUGCCUAACCUUUUCUCUAACUUGUUUGUAAAGAAUUCUGGAGUAUUCCCAAAUUGUUGACGAAUUCCUGUUUCCUGCUCUAAGUCUAGAUUUCAGUGUGGGCCACUAGGUGGAGAUAGGAUCCUGUCUCUGUAGCCUUAACAUGAUUUUGAAUUCCAAUGCUUUGCAAUGGAUAAUCUGGCCUUUUCCUCCACAGCUUUAAAACAUUUCUUUUGUGAAUUCAAAACAACCCACAGUUUUAAUUCUCUGUAUUCAAUAAAAAUUAUUGAAUAACUGUAAAUUAUAAGUGAAUAAUUGUAAAUUAUUUACUUACAAUCCUUCCAUAUGAAAAUCCUCUACUCCCAACUUGACUCAAUGGUGAGAAAUCUGAGUUGACUCCGCUUUCUGACUGUACUCUGAUGGUACCAUGUUAGGAGAAAUUCUUGUCAAACUUUAAGUUAAUCUACUAGUUCUUUUCAUAAAGCAAAAGGUGAAAUGUUGAGGACUCUGAGUCAGCCAGCAAUCAAAAUGACUUUUAAACUAAGUCCCUUUUAACUAUGACUUAAGGCAAUAUUAAAUUAAUCGCUGGGUAUUAUAAACACAGGUUUCCCAACCCUCUGCUGAUGACGUUUGCUUGUUUGUGUAUUUUCUUCUUCUCAAAAUUCCAAAUAGUGAAGUCUCUCUUAGGCAAAGGAGGCUCAUUCGUCGUCAAAUUCCCUGCAUGUAAAAUUCUCUGGGUACAAAAUAGAUUGCUUCUCUCUUAUUUUUCUUUUUCUU
Molecule: long non-coding RNA, 5373 nt
Organism: Callithrix jacchus (white-tufted-ear marmoset)
Lineage: Eukaryota; Metazoa; Chordata; Mammalia; Primates; Cebidae
Source: Ensembl